CCAAAGGCUCUUUUAAGAGCCACCAAAUUCUCCACGGAAAGCGCUG
Molecule: regulatory RNA element, 46 nt
Organism: Ophiophagus hannah (king cobra)
Lineage: Eukaryota; Metazoa; Chordata; Lepidosauria; Squamata; Elapidae
Rfam family: Histone 3' UTR stem-loop
About the family: The mRNAs of metazoan histone genes lack a poly-A tail. 3' end processing occurs at a site between a highly conserved stem-loop (modelled by this family) and a purine rich region around 20 nts downstream (the histone downstream element, or HDE).
Source: Rfam